GGCAAGGCAUUCUGCCUACCAUCAAGAGAACGUAUAAAAAGAGGCAAGCCACAGAUAAGAACAACAGUUGAGUGGUGAGCAGUAUCUGAACGCAACAAGCUAAUCUCUUGCAAGACAUAACCAGAGUUUUGCUACUUGGAUGUUGGAUAAAGACUGCUGUCCACUUGCUCUGGAAAUUGAGGAUGGCUUUUCUGGUGCAGUGGUUCUAAAUAGUUCAACAGUUCUUUAGCUUAAUUGUGAAAUGUUUAGGACCACUUGAUCAGGGUGGCAGUAACGUCAAUACAGAGGACACAGGCGGAGAAUUGAGAGUGACAAGAAGGGGAGAUGCAGCAGGUAUAAACCAGCUUUAGCUGCUUAACAUGCGGGAUUAGGAUUAGCAUCAUAUUCCUUCAACUGUACCGUAGUUCUCUCAACUAAUUUUUUUAUUAAAAAGUCCCAACAUGUAAGAUUGUGGAAUGAUGCUCACUGGUAUACAAUGUUUAGUUGCUAAGCAGAUUUGACUGAACCAAGAUAUGCCAGCAAACGUAUACAGAAAAGUACUGGAUCAAUAUAAACUCUGCAUGGAAAAACAUUACCUUCUUAAAUGGAUUCUUAAAUUAAAUAAUGUACUACAUAUUUUAAACAUUAUGCAGUCCCGUCAUAUAGGCUGACAUUAGCAUUUUAAUGUUGUCGUCCUAGUUUGUGUAAUUUAGUCAAAUAAAAUCUAAACUGUAGCAUAACUGUAAAUUGCACCCAGAGUACUGGAAGCAUUGAUCCAUAAAUUAUCCGUAUUUUAAUAAUUGUGUUGAUGGUGAAUUUGUAUGGGUUAAGCAUGUUCAUUUUUAAUUUCACAUUUACAGUAUCUUCUGUAAAUGUGAAAUCAGAUUCAUGCUGAUAAAAAUCAGUACAGUAGAAGUAAAUCUGAUUGUGUUUUUAUUUUUAUUUAUUUAAUUUACAAACAUGCGUUGUUAUUUAUUUAUUGAUUAUAUUUUAUGUAUAUAUACUUGUAAUCAAAAUAAAAUCUACCCAACCAG
This is a long non-coding RNA of Acipenser ruthenus (sterlet), 1013 nucleotides long. RefSeq lists it as uncharacterized. The transcript has 2 exons. Lineage: Eukaryota; Metazoa; Chordata; Actinopteri; Acipenseriformes; Acipenseridae. The record is from RefSeq and is a predicted model, not a curated record.